CCUACGGGUGGCUGCAGUGGGGAAUAUUGGACAAUGGGCGAAAGCCUGAUCCAGCCAUGCCGCGUGUGUGAAGAAGGCCUUCGGGUUGUAAAGCACUUUCAGUGGGGAAGAAAGCCUUGGGGCUAAUACCCUCGAGGAAGGACAUCACCCACAGAAGAAGCACCGGCUAACUCCGUGCCAGCAGCCGCGGUAAUACGGAGGGUGCGAGCGUUAAUCGGAAUUACUGGGCGUAAAGCGCGCGUAGGCGGUCUGAUAAGCCGGUUGUGAAAGCCCCGGGCUCAACCUGGGAACGGCAUCCGGAACUGUCAGGCUAGAGUGCAGGAGAGGAAGGUAGAAUUCCCGGUGUAGCGGUGAAAUGCGUAGAGAUCGGGAGGAAUACCAGUGGCGAAGGCGGCCUUCUGGACUGACACUGACGCUGAGGUGCGAAAGCGUGGGUAGCAAACAGGAUCAGAUACCCCAGUAGUC
Molecule: ribosomal RNA, 465 nt
Filed under: Vreelandella stevensii
Lineage: Bacteria; Pseudomonadati; Pseudomonadota; Gammaproteobacteria; Oceanospirillales; Halomonadaceae
Description: partial 16S ribosomal RNA
Rfam family: Bacterial small subunit ribosomal RNA
Source: RNAcentral